GCGGUGCUAUACAUGCAGUCGAACGAACUUGCGCGCCUAUUUGGAAUUGAUGACUGUACUUGUGACUGGAUUUGAGAUUUUAACCCAAAAGUGUAGCGGCAGAACGUGGUGUAAUAACACGUGGGUCACCUGCCCAGAAGUAGGGGAUAUCACCUGGCAAAUGAUGCUACUACCGAAUAACGUAGAAAACCGCAUGGUUUUCUAGAAAACCGCAUGGUUUUCUUUUAAAAGAUGGCUCUGCUAUCACAUUCUGGAUGGACCCGCGGGGGAUUAGCUAGUUGGGUGAGGUAAAGGCUCACCAAGGCAGUGAUUACUGAGCCGACCUGAGAGGGUAAUCGGCCACAUUGGGACUGAGACACGGCCCAGACUCCUACGGGAGGCAGCAGUAGGGAAUCUUCCACAAUGGACGCAAGUCUGAGGGAGCAACCCCGCGUGAGUGAAGAAGGGUUUCGGCUCGUAAAGCUCUGUUGUUAAAGAAGAACCGUGGGUAAGAGUAACUGUUUACCCAGUGACGGUAUUUAACCAGAAAGCCACGGCUAACUACGUGCCAGCAGCCGCGGUAAUACGUAGGUGGCAAGCGUUAUCCGGAUUUAUUGGGGCGUAAAGACGAGUCGCAGGCGGUUCUUCUUAAGUCUAAUGUGAAAGCCUUCGGCUCAACCGAAGAAGUGCAUCUGGAAACUGGGUAGACUUGAGUGCAGAAGAGGACAGUGGAACUCCAUGUGUAGCGGUGAAAUGCGUAGAUAUAUGGAAGAACACCAGUGGCGAAGGCGGCUGUCUGGUCUGCAACUGACGCUGAGGCUCGAAAGCAUGGGUAGCGAACAGGAUUAGAUACCCUGGUAGUCCAUGCCGUAAACGAUGAUUACUAAGUGUUGGAGGGUUUCCGCCCUUCAGUGCUGCAGCUAACGCAUUAAGUAAUCCGCCUGGGGAGUACGACCGCAAGGUUGAAACUCAAAAGAAUUGACGGGGACCCGCACAAGCGGUGGAGCAUGUGGUUUAAUUCGAAGCUACGCUGAGCAACCUUACCAGGUCGUGACAGUCUGUCUGACAG
This 1048-nucleotide ribosomal RNA is filed under the name Pediococcus pentosaceus. RNAcentral describes it as "bacterial SSU rRNA". It matches the Rfam family "Bacterial small subunit ribosomal RNA", at positions 41 to 999 of the family's 1533-position model. Lineage: Bacteria; Bacillati; Bacillota; Bacilli; Lactobacillales; Lactobacillaceae. The record is from RNAcentral.